Molecule: ribosomal RNA, 475 nt
Filed under: uncultured bacterium
Lineage: Bacteria
Description: partial 16S ribosomal RNA
Rfam family: Bacterial small subunit ribosomal RNA
Source: RNAcentral
AGUGAACGCUGGCGGCGUGCCUAACACAUGCAAGUCGAACGAUGAAGAGCAGCUUGCUGCUCGGAUUAGUGGCGCACGGGUGAGUAAUGCAUAGGUAAUGUGCCCCUUAGUCUGGGAUAGCCACUGGAAACGGUGAUUAAUACUAGAUACUCCUUCUUGUCUCAAGGCAAGUCGGGAAAGUUUUUCGCUAAGGGAUAAGCCUAUGUCCUAUCAGGUAGUUGGUGAGGUAACGGCUCACCAAGCCUAUGACGGGUAUCUGGUUUGAGAGGAUGAUCAGACACACUGGAACUGAGACACGGUCCAGACUCCUACGGGAGGCAGCAGUGAGGAAUAUUGCACAAUGGAGGAAACUCUGAUGCAGCAACGCCGCGUGGAGGAUGACGCAUUUCGGUGUGUAAACUCCUUUUAAGAGGGAAGAUUAUGACGGUACCUCUUGAAUAAGCACCGGCUAACUCCGUGCCAGCUGCCGCAGUAA